AGAGUUUGAUCCUGGCUCAGGACGAACGCUGGCGGCGUGCCUAAUACAUGCAAGUCGAACGCUUCUUUCCUCCCGAGUGCUUGCACUCAAUUGGAAAGAGGAGUGGCGGACGGGUGAGUAACACGUGGGUAACCUACCCAUCAGAGGGGGAUAACACUUGGAAACAGGUGCUAAUACCGCAUAACAGUUUAUGCCGCAUGGCAUAAGAGUGAAAGGCGCUUUCGGGUGUCGCUGAUGGAUGGACCCGCGGUGCAUUAGCUAGUUGGUGAGGUAACGGCUCACCAAGGCCACGAUGCAUAGCCGACCUGAGAGGGUGAUCGGCCACACUGGGACUGAGACACGGCCCAGACUCCUACGGGAGGCAGCAGUAGGGAAUCUUCGGCAAUGGACGAAAGUCUGACCGAGCAACGCCGCGUGAGUGAAGAAGGUUUUCGGAUCGUAAAACUCUGUUGUUAGAGAAGAACAAGGACGUUAGUAACUGAACGUCCCCUGACGGUAUCUAACCAGAAAGCCACGGCUAACUACGUGCCAGCAGCCGCGGUAAUACGUAGGUGGCAAGCGUUGUCCGGAUUUAUUGGGCGUAAAGCGAGCGCAGGCGGUUUCUUAAGUCUGAUGUGAAAGCCCCCGGCUCAACCGGGGAGGGUCAUUGGAAACUGGGAGACUUGAGUGCAGAAGAGGAGAGUGGAAUUUCCAUGUGUAGCGGUGAAAUGCGUAGAUAUAUGGAGGAACACCAGUGGGCGAGCGGCUCUCUGGGUCUGUAACUGACGCUGAGGCUCGAAGCGUGGGG
Molecule: ribosomal RNA, 787 nt
Filed under: uncultured bacterium
Lineage: Bacteria
Description: bacterial SSU rRNA
Rfam family: Bacterial small subunit ribosomal RNA
Source: RNAcentral